AGUGAACGCUGGCGGUAGGCCUAACACAUGCAAGUCGAACGGCAGCAUAGUAAGAGCUUGCUCUUACGGGUGGCGAGUGGCGGACGGGUGAGGAAUACAUCGGAAUCUACUUUUUCGUGGGGAAUAACGUAGGGAAACUUACGCUAAUACCGCAUACGACCUACGGGUGAAAGCAGGGGAUCUUCGGACCUUGCGCGAUUGAAUGAGCCGAUGUCGGAUUAGCUAGUUGGCGGGGUAAAGGCCCACCAAGGCGACGAUCCGUAGCUGGUCUGAGAGGAUGAUCAGCCACACUGGAACUGAGACACGGUCCAGACUCCUACGGGAGGCAGCAGUGGGGAAUAUUGGACAAUGGGCGCAAGCCUGAUCCAGCCAUACCGCGUGGGUGAAGAAGGCCUUCGGGUUGUAAAGCCCUUUUGUUGGGAAAGAAAAGCAGCAGGUUAAUACCCCGCUGUUCUGACGGUACCCAAAGAAUAAGCACCGGCUAACUUCGUG
RNAcentral lists this ribosomal RNA (492 nucleotides) under uncultured bacterium. RNAcentral describes it as "partial 16S ribosomal RNA". It matches the Rfam family "Bacterial small subunit ribosomal RNA", at positions 29 to 507 of the family's 1533-position model. The record is from RNAcentral.